This 313-nucleotide ribosomal RNA is filed under the name uncultured Actinomycetes bacterium. RNAcentral describes it as "bacterial SSU rRNA". It matches the Rfam family "Bacterial small subunit ribosomal RNA", at positions 430 to 755 of the family's 1533-position model. The record is from RNAcentral. Lineage: Bacteria; Bacillati; Actinomycetota; Actinomycetes.
CCGCUUUCAGCAGGGAAGAAGCGAAAGUGACGGUACCUGCAGAAGAAGCACCGGCUAACUAUGUGCCAGCAGCCGCGGUAAUACAUAGGGUGCAAGCGUUGUCCGGAAUUAUUGGGCGUAAAGAGCUCGUAGGUGGUUCGUCACGUCGGAUGUGAAACUCUGGGGCUUAACCCCAGACCUGCAUUCGAUACGGGCGAGCUUGAGUAUGGUAGGGGAGNCUGGAAUUCCUGGUGUAGCGGUGGAAUGCGCANAUAUCAGGAGGAACACCAAUGGCGAAGGCAGGNCUCUGGGCCAUUACUGACACUGAGGAGCG